This is a non-coding RNA of Vicugna pacos (alpaca), 8512 nucleotides long. The record is from RefSeq and is a predicted model, not a curated record. NCBI's taxonomy places the organism in Eukaryota, Metazoa, Chordata, Mammalia, Artiodactyla, Camelidae.
UUCUGAUUUAUGUUUAUGCUAAUUUAAAAGAAUUGAACGUUUUAUUUUAAGUAGUGUAAUUUUCAGAUGUGUAUUUGAUUCUGUGCCUAGGGAUUUUAUCCUGGAAGGGUGCUUUCACUGGUUAGUUUUGAAGUGUUCAUGGGGCCCAAAAUACUGCAGCCCUUUCAGACCUGCCUCAGACCCUUUGUUCUCCCUUGCUAUUAAUAAAGGCAAAAACACAUUCCAGUUUCAGUGCUGCCCUGGAGCUGGUUCUCCACAUGUCUCAGUGAGUGCUUUGGCUCUCUCGUGGGUCAGUACUGGUGGUUUUCCUCCCACUCGUUGUUAACACCUCAUUUGUUAAUGUCUUAUACCUGCUCAGAUUGUGGGGUUCCUGAAACUCCUAGUUUGAUUAGGAUGUUCAUAGGCUUUUUAAAUUUAUCCUACUUGCUCUGGCUGGUUAAUUUUUUUUUAGGGUGGAGGAUUAAAUGAUCAGAAAUUUUACCAGUACCCCACCACUCCCCAUUACCCAAAAACCUUUUUUUUUUAAUGAAGGAUUUUGGUUUGUGUUUCCCUUCCACCUCCUUCAAUCUUGCAGUGGUUAACCUUGAAAAUUUCAUUGCAUAUUUCACAAUCUAUAGUUAAUCAGUAUGUUAAAUGCCUUUCUGAACAAUGAAAGGCACUAAAAUUCAUCAGUUUUCUUCCAACCUUUUUUCAGUAUUUUCGUUAUUUUGCAGCCCAUAUUUAAACAUGAUUAAAUAUUUAUUUGGGUUUACUUUGAUCAUUUUUCUUUUUAGUAUCUCAGACAUUCCUUCUGAGGUAAUUUUUUUUCCCUAAAGGAUGUAUUUCAAAAGUUAUUUUGGGGAAGUUCUGUUAAAGUAAUCUCCAUUUUUGUUCAUCUGAAAAUGUCCUUAUUUUACUACUUUUAAAAUGUAUUUUUAAUGUUUUCAGCUUUAUUGAAGUAUAAUUGAUGAAAUUUAAAGUAUACAAUAUGAUUCGACAUAUGCAUACUUUGUGAUUAUCAGUCAGGUGAUUAUCACAGUCCAUCACCUCACAGUUACCUUUCUGUGGGUGUGUGGUGAGGACGCUAAAGGUUUACUCUCAGCAAAUACACAGCACUUAACUGUUCUUGAUAGUUUUACUAGAUACAAUUCUAGUUUUCUCUCUAUUUUUAAGUUAUUAGUCCACUGCUAUCUGGUUUCCUUUGUACUUCAGAUCAGCUGCCAUCUAAUUAUCUUCCUUCCUAUGGGAUCUUCUGUUUCUCUGCUGCUGCUUUUAAGAUCUCUUCAUCUGUUCUGAUCUGUAGUUUCAAUAUAGAUGCAUCUAUGUAUGUCUUUGUAUUUGUCCUGCUAGUAUACAGUGUGAUUCUUAUAUUUGUGAUGUAUCUUUCUGCCCUGAAAAUUUCUUUCAUGGACUCUUUGAAUAUUACGUGUUUUUCUAGAACUUUAAACUGUCUUCCUACGUACUACUAACUUUGACUUCAGCUCUAUGUAACCUUUUGUUAAACCAUUGAAUUUUUAAUUUUGAUUACUAGGUUUUUCUUUCCCAAAAGUCCUACUUCAUUCUCUCUUAGCUACGCAUGGUAAUUUUGAUGGAUUUUUAGUCUUAAUUCCUUUCUUUUGCUGCAUCUUUUUCUUUCUUUGGGUGGGUCAUAGAUAGUUCUUUCUGUAUCCCAUGGCUGAUAAAUCCAGUACCUGAAGUCUCAGGAGGUCUAAAUCUGUUUAUUGUCUCUGAAUUUUUCCUUAUGGUGUCAUUCUUCCCUGUUUGAUGAUUUUGUUUUGUAAAUGCAUUCUUGAUUGAAUCUGUGGAAAUCCACAAGUUCCAAAUUGGGCAUGUUCUUUCUGAAAGUGUUUUUCACAUUUGCUUCUCUAGGCCAGGAACUGCCCUGGGACAUCUUUGCUCUCUUCUUGGCUCCUGGCCUAAUUCUAGGUGCUCAGGUUCAGCUAGUCUUACUGUGGUUCAGUGCUUGGUGUCCCAGUCCCAGUGCUGAUAGUGGCAUUUGUCCUCAGGGCAUCCGUGGCUUUUGUGUUUACUUACCACUCCUGCUCAGAUUCUAGCUUUUAUAUUGGCCUUGGAGGUUUCCUUGCUUUCCUGAGACUCCAGUAAAGCAUUUUAAAGUAUGUUUAUAAUUAUCUAAGAACUAACAGUAGUGGGAGAGCCCUUCAGACUAUAGGUCUUUCAUAACCCCUACCGGCAGAAUGUUGCCACUUCUGUUCUAGAGCCCCCCAGAUGGCAUAGUUUUGUCUUGUUAUUCACUUAACCUUUCUCUUAUGUGCUGCUAGACUUCUCUGUAAAGUUUGCAUGUUGACUUUCUUAGUAGCCCUUAACAGAAUGAGCUUUUUGGUCCCGUAUCUUUGUCAUGCCUAAAGUUUCUUUCUUAAAUUUAAACUGGGAGUUCAUAAAAGGAUAAUUCGUGAAAUGUAAGAUUUCUUGGCAUUGGUGUGUGUAUCACUUUGCCCUGCAUGUCUCAAGUAUCAGUUAUUUUAUAUACACCAGUUCCUUAGCACAUUGCUGUUAAAUCCCUUCAUAAAUAGGACUCCAGAGUAGUUAUGUAGAUUCAGAAAAUAACUGCAUUCUGUCUGAAACUUUGCAACCUUUCUUUAAAAAAAAGUUUGUUUUGGCAUUUGGCCAAAAGUAAUAAAAUUCCUACCUGACCAUAAAUUCCCUGAUUUCCCCCUAUUCGUCUGCAAACAAUUAUCUUUUUUCCUGUCUGGAAACCAGAGCUCAGGACUGAACAACACAGUGGCUAUUUGUACUGCAUUCUAACACAAAGUGCCCUAAUUUUCCUGCUUCUGCUUGUUUCGUUUCUCAAUACCUAUUCUGAUGCAGUGCUAAAUCACUGUGCUUUUUUGAAGACCGGCUUUAUUGAAGUAUAAUUUAUAUAAUAAAAAAGUGACCCAUGUUUACAACCCAUGAUUUAGUAAAUUUAUUAAGUUGUGCCAACAUCACCGUAAUCUAGAUUUAGAACAUUUUCAUCAUGCUUCCAAAACUUUCACGCGUCCUUCUUGCAGUCUCCACUCCUCCCCAUCCUUUUCUCCCUGCCUUUCUCUCCAGGCAACCAUUGAUGUGUUCCUGUCCAUUAAUUAGCUUUUGCUGGGUAUAUCAUAUAAGUGAAACUAUAUUCUGUAUAGUCUUUUGCAUCUUGCUGUGUCACUUAGCAUGAUGAUUUUGAGGUUCAUUUUAUAUGUACUAUAGCAUUUUUACCCCCUGAAUAUUAGUCCAUCUUAUGCAUAUACCACAUUUUGUUUAUCCACUCACCGGCUGAUCAUUUGGAUUGUCUCCAGUUUGGGGCUGUUAGGCAUAAUGCUGCCAUGAUGCCAUGAGUGUUCACAUAAAGCAUGUUUAUGAACAUGUUUUCAUUUAUCUCGGGUGGGUUCAUACAAGUGGAAUUGCUGAGGCUGUUUUUUUUAAAGGAACUACCAAACGGUUACCCGUAGGGGCUGUACUGCAUUAUAUGCCUGUCAGUGGUGUAUGGGGAUUCUGGUUUCUCUUCAUCUUCUCCAAUGCUUUGUGCUGUCUUUGUCUUUGAUUAUCACCAUUCUCCUGGGUGUGAAGUGCGAUUUUCCUUGUGUUUAGUGUAUAUUUCUACAUUUUUUUUUCCUAUAGGAAAUGGCUGCUCUCUAGUGGUGCAUUCUACACAUUACACUUGGGAAGAGGGCACUAAAUAGAAAGCUUAAAGCUAAAACAUGUUAAAGUUUACAUUGAUUUCAUGUUGUGCCUGCAUUGUUUAGCACACUGAGCCCAAUUGAGGCCCAGGUUCAAAAUGUUCUCCUAAUUACCCCUGUUAAUAGUCCUUAGGACUUGGCUGGUUGGUUGUGGCUUUUACUUAAUCCCUGGAGGUGCCCUAUAUUCAAACGAAGCUUUUGUGCUUCAGAUCUCAUCCACUUUAUGCACUCAGACCUUUUGGUAUAAAGGGUUACACCUGUGGAGUGGCUAAUGCUUAUGAAGUCGGGGAGGAAAAGGCCAGACACAGUUUUGUUGACUCAUACCUACCACAUCCUUUUAGACUAGAGCCAGAGGAGUAAAUAAUUCUUACUAGUGGAGUGAAUGUAAAUUCCUUUUAAUGAAUUGCACACAAGUGGAAUGUCUGGUGGCUCCUUGGUAUUUUCAGGUAACACUCUGUAAAUAUGCCUGUAGAGAGUUGUAAAAUUUUAGAAUGGGUCUCAGCUGCCCCCAGGCUCCUAGGGCUCUGCUGAAAUGAGAGCAAGAUGCACAUUUAAAACUGAAAAAAUUGAGCUAAAGAAGGAACCCGGCCAGGGACUGACUGACUUAAGGAAUGUAUAUUUGGUAAGUAAACAAAGAUGUGGCUUCAGGAAAUUAGGGUAGUAAAACUAAACACUUAAUUGUUUAAGCAAACUGUAGGUUCUUUCUUUAAACCACUAAAUGUUCAAAAAGUAGGGAAAAUGUACCUAUAUGAAAUUUCUCUUAAAUUUUUACACUAGCACAAUGCAUUUACCUAACAAUGUAUUUUACUUUCCUGACAUGUCUGUAAAAUGAUCAUGUAUAUUUGUAUGUGUGUAUAUAUACAUAUGUGCACACACACAAAAGCCUAGUACAAAAUAUUAGAAAGCAUGAUGGACCCAUGGCGUCUGCGCAUGGUUGAUUUACUGCUUCAGUCAAAUGGAAGCAAGAGGAGAGGCCAGACCAUCCAUCCUUGUGUGGCAGUUUGGUAUACAGUAAUUCUACGCCAUAGUAAAUGGAUUAUUUAUCAAUUAUGUUAUCAGUUGGGGUGGGUAAAGGGGUAUAAGGUUUAGGACAGAAGGUAGUUUGUUCAACUUCAGGAUAAGCAUUGGCUAGUAGGGAAAUUGAAAUAGUUGGGGAUUAAAAUUUUUAAAUAUGCAUCCGAAGUUUAAUGUUGCUAUAACAAAUACUGCUUUUAAAAAAAUUAGUAUGUGGAGAUUUUGAUUAAUCCAAUGUCAUUGCCAAAACAACAGAUUCUGGAAUUACUUAACAGACAAAAUUUUAUCCUCUGCCUUUGUUUUGGAACCAAGUCUGAUGAUUUAUAUGAACAGUAUUGUUUAACUCUUCCCAGAAAAACUAUCAUAAAGUCAGUAGGGUAUGUGUGUAUGCUUGCCUGCCUAGUUCUGCAAACAGUUUUAAAGAUGUUAUAAAUUUGUUUUGAACAAUGGUAACAAAUGUGUAGAACACUCCCCAUCCCCUGAUGAUCUUGAAGGACAGUGGGUUUUUUUUUUUGGUAAGUUCUGUGUAGUUAACUCACAUUUAAUAGGGAAAUGUUUGAUUGCUAAUAUUUUCACUGUAGACUCUAGGAUAUCAUUUUAACUCCUUCCUUUUUUGUUACAGGUGAGGAAGUAGAGUACCAGACAUUCAGGCCUGUUGUGCUAGAGCGAUGGGAGUGUCAUGGAUGAGCUUCCAGUUUAUCCAGGAUGAGUGUCAGUUCCUUGGACCAAGAAAUAAGUUUUAAAGAUUAAUGGAACUUUAAAUCCUGAAGAUCCAUGUCAGGGAUUGACCAUCACCUCCAAUGCUGGAAAAAGUGGGGAAACGUAAGCAGCCUGUGAUGUCGUCCGAGGUGCAGGCAAUGGAACAAACCUGGGAAGUCAUGCAGUAUGUCAGAGGCAGUCAACAACCUGAAGAGAGAGUCUCACAGAAAUAAGUACAAAAACAGGCAUUCCACAGAAUCAGAAAUCCCAGUGGCCAAAUAAAUUUGUGGCAAAAUGGUUAACUUCAGUUGUCAGAGAAAUGCAAAUUUAGAGCAUAAUACUGUUUUUCACUUUGCAGCCAAAGCUGGCAAGAACUUAAGCUCAUCCACAGUUGGUAUAAGAGCUUCUAAGGAGAAGUGGUUUGGUAACAACAAAAUUUUUUUUAAUUUGGUUUAUCUUCUGACCCAGAUAUCCCGCUUCCAGAAAUUUAUCUUUUAGAAACACAAGAAUGCAUGAUGAUGUGUGUACCAAGACUCCUCAGUACAGCAUUGUUUGUAACAGCAGAAUAAUUGGGUGGGGUGCCAGGGGAGGCUUAUGUGCAUAACGGGAGAAUGUUUAAAUAAGUGGUGAUAUAGCCUUACUACACAAAAUGAUUAACAGAAGACAUAUAAAGUGGAAAAAAAUACAGUAUAUCCAAUUUUAUGUAUAAAAACAAUGUGUAAGUACACAAAAAUGUUCUGUGCACACAAAGUGUGCCAAACUUAAUGGUUUACUUUGGGGAGGAAGGGAUGAAGUAAACUUGCUCUAAAUUCUUUUUGCUCUGUAUGCUCAUGUGUCUUUUUUUUUUUAAUCUAUUUGUAAAUCAGUUUGAAACAAUUUUUACAAGAUUUCAAAAUGGUAACUCUUGUAGUUGUAGGCUUGGGGGAUCUCUGCAAAGCCACUCUACCAGAUCACUCACUCCCUUAAGAUGCUUGGGAAGACCUCAGGUGCCGUUGGAAUCUCUUCAAAGACUACAGGACAAAGAUGGAAAAACAGGAAGUUAAAUAGUUAACUAAAGACAUUUUUCUGAAGCCCAUGCAGUUGAGUACAAUUGGUUUUCCAGUAAUGGUGUAUAUAUGUGUAUGUAUGCACGUGUGUUGCUCAGGUGAUAAUUUACAGGAAUAUUUAGCAGUGGAGAGAUACAGACCCGUAGCUGUUUCUGCCUCCGACGUGUGAAAUAAGGUAAACGAGAUGUUAGGGCUGGGCCCCAGAAAUUGAGAAGGGUGAUGUAAAGCACUUACCCAGAGCAGACACAUGGUCUUUUAAAGUUAAAAUAGAAUUGUCUUUUUAGAAAGCAUUCCAAGAGCCACCCUCCAGUCUGUUCUAAGGGCACAGGUCUUCAUUAUCAGAGCCUCGCUGUCUCACUGCAGUCUUGGCUUUCAGUUGAGUGUGGUCUGUGGGGAAACCACAAACACUGACAGAAUCCUGUUCUAAGACAAAACAGGCUCGAUGGUUAUACUUUUCUAAUCACAACCAAGUUAGAGAGAAACCUCGAUUAUAUUCUGAAGACCCACUAGGCUUCAAAGCUGUUUGGAAUGGAUUGAGGGGGUUCUAAACACUACCUAGAUGUCUUAAUUAAAAGUGGCCGGGAUUGUGACAAUUUAUAUUUGCAGCAUCUCUGGCAAAAAGUGAACAAAUGCUCGUUUAAAUAACUCAAACUCCAGAAGUGCCUAAACACUGAUUUAAAGCCUGAGAAGGACACACACAGGAGGGUUUCUGUCUCACCUCAGAGUUGCCACCGGUAAUCAGCAAUAGGAAAUGGGCCUCGCAGUGUCCUGGGAAACGGUCCUUACAUACAAAAAGCGGAAACUGCGGACAUUGAUAGAAGUCGGCCUACUUAAAACUAAACAAACUUUGUUUAAAAAGUACCAUAAUAAAAACUGAAAGGCAAGAUACUUUGGAGAAAAAUAUUUACAACAUAAGAGGUUAAUAUCCUAAAUAUAUAAAUCAAGAGGAACAAAGAUGAAUAGCCCGGAAGGAUCAUCUGUUCUUUUUUACUACUCAGCAUCCUCUGUUCAUUAACAGAACCUUUCCUAGUUGUGAACUCAUUCCAUAUGAUACUUAAGUGACAACUUUCCCCACAUCUGCCCAGUUGGGAACUCACACUGGGUCUAGGUCUAGAGUAUUGGGCAUGUAACCCAUGUGCCACACACGGCACCUUCACAUGUAAGGGAACAAAUACUGUAAGAAUGAAAAUGUAAAUGAAAACAUCAGAAGACACUGUUUCCCACCUAUCAAAUGGAGUGAUCUUUUUUUCGCCUUUUUUGUUUUUUCCAAACAUAGUACAGUUGGUAAAGGAGUAAAUGAUCACUGAAUGCUAAAAUCAGUAAGUGAAAGAUGGCUGCAACAGGGAAAGGCCCCUAUUAACAGUUUUGGUGACCGUAUCUUAACCAAAGACUCAAGAGUUACCAUCACUGACGAUUUUAGGUGCCUUCUUAUGUGAUGCAAUACAAAAUACCCAGCACCACCUUUGAAAGAUUCUUGCCAAAUAUAAUCAAGCCUCUAAACCUAAGCUUACAGAGAAUCUACAUAGGAGAUAAGGGAAUGAAUUAAAGGACACUGAGGGAAACACAAAUCCAAGAUGCAGAACAUUACAUUAAAGAGACAUAAUGACCAACUGUAAUGUCUAAAACUUGACUGAGUCUUGGCUCAAAAAAAUGAGCUGUAAGACCUUUGAGGCACAAUUACAGAAAUUUGAAUGUGAACUGAAUACUAGAUGUUGAGAAAUUUUCUUAGCUGCUGUAAUGGUAUUGUGGUUAUGCUGGAAAACGUCCUGAGAAAUGCAUGCUAAAGUUUUUAGGGGUGAAGUGUAACUCAGUGUAAAUAUACAUAUGCACACAUUUUCAUUAAAAAAUAUGAAAAAUCGAAUCUGUCCAACUAGUUUGCUCCAGCAAUGGCUGUGGGAGCAUUCUUUAUGAUAUCCCCAAAUCAGAAAUAAUGUCUAACAUGGGGGUUGCUUGAAUAAAUUGGUACAACCAUACAACGGACAACUUCUACUAAAACUCUGUAAUAGACAAGAUGUGACAUAGAAAGUUUUUGUGGAUUUAGAAUAGAUAAACAAGAUUAUACUGUAUAGCACAGGGAAAUAUACACAAACUCUUGUAGCUCAGAGAAAAAAA